CCUACGGGAGGCAGCAGUGGGGAAUUUUGCGCAAUGCUCGUAAGAGUGACGCAGCGACGCCGCGUGAAUGACGAAGGCCUUCGGGGCUUAAAAUUCUUUCUACAGGGGAGAAAAUGCCUAUAAGUGACUGUGUAUGUAUUGACGGUACCUGUAUAAGCAGCCCCGGCUAACGCCGUGCCAGCAGCCGCGGUAAUACGGAGGGGGCUAGCGUUGUUCGGAGGGACUGGGCGUAAAGAGCACGUAGGCGGUGUUGUAAGUCAUUAGUAAAAGACUAGAGCUCAACUUUAGUAAGGCUAGUGAUACUAUCAUUCUAGAGUACCAGAGAGGAUUGCAGCAUUCCUGGUGUAGCGGUGAAAUGCUUAGAUAUCAGGAGGAAUACCGUUAGCGAAGGCGGCAAUCUGGCUGGAAACUGACGCUGAGGUGCGAAAGCGUGGGUAGCAAACAGGAUUAGAUACCCGAGUAGUC
Molecule: ribosomal RNA, 465 nt
Filed under: uncultured bacterium
Lineage: Bacteria
Description: partial 16S ribosomal RNA
Rfam family: Bacterial small subunit ribosomal RNA
Source: RNAcentral